UCCGCGCGGAGCUUCCGGUCGAGCGACGACAACGGCUCGUCCAGCAGCAGGACGGCCGGUUCGUUCACCAGCGCGCGGGC
Molecule: transfer RNA, 80 nt
Filed under: Halobellus salinus
Lineage: Archaea; Methanobacteriati; Methanobacteriota; Halobacteria; Halobacteriales; Haloferacaceae
Description: tRNA-Arg
Source: RNAcentral